RNAcentral lists this long non-coding RNA (441 nucleotides) under Pongo abelii (Sumatran orangutan). RNAcentral describes it as "lincRNA". Lineage: Eukaryota; Metazoa; Chordata; Mammalia; Primates; Hominidae. The record is from RNAcentral.
UUCAUGUAGGGGCACUGACUGGACUGCCUAGAGUUGGAGGAAGGGACCCUUAUGUGUCUCCAGAAGCCUUCCUUCCCAUUCCUAUGGGGUCUGACAGUUGUAGGCAGAAGGCCUGCAGGUCCAGGGCCGAGCAGGGGCCUCCACCAUCUGCUGAGGAACUUACUGUGUUUCUGUUUGAUUGAGCCUGGGCAUGAGAUAAAACACAAGGUCAUCUGCAAUGGCACUGGUGCUGUGGCUGUAUCAGCAUGGCUCUGGAUGUCCCUUCGGGGCAGGCAACUGUUCAGGGAGGACUUUCAAGCAAGCUCUGGAACUUGAAGUCUCAAGAGAUGACAAAUAGUCAAUUCUCAAAAAAUGAAGAAAAGAAAAACUUGUUUCUUCAUGUUUGCUAACCCUAUCUAGAUCUAUGGUUUUGGCCAAUAAAUUCACUGUGUUCAAAUCCUC